Molecule: non-coding RNA, 165 nt
Organism: Vicugna pacos (alpaca)
Lineage: Eukaryota; Metazoa; Chordata; Mammalia; Artiodactyla; Camelidae
Product: small Cajal body-specific RNA 16
Source: RefSeq, a predicted model, not a curated record
AUGGCUUAAGAUUUUUAAAAAAUAUUUAUCCUUUGUACCAGGCAGGCUGACCCUGACCUGAAGUAAAUUCCCAGGAGAGUUUUUUCCCUGGGUUUUGCAUUUGCAGUAAUAGGUGUGAACAUUCUAGCAGCAGUUUGAUGAUCAAGUAUGAUACUGCAAACAGGA